CCUGUCUCCUCCUGUGUACCCUUCACCCUUGGCCAAAGGAACCUGUCCAGACUGCUGCUGACCGCUGAUGGAGGCCACUCACUGGGGUGGAGGUGAUUGGCUUGGGUGUGCCGGGUUUGGUUACCAAGCUGUGGAUCCAUUUCUUGUGCAGGUCGCACCUUUAGGGAGGUUCAGCCACCCAGCCCUCUCCUGCUGUCCUGCUUCUGCUUCCUGACUUCCCUCCAGGACACGAGGUGGACAGCCCAGAGGCCCUGCUGCUGCUCGCUUAAAGAGCAGGUCAGGCCCCAGUGGACAAAGGGCCCUGCACCCUGAAGACAGCUUUGGGGUCCUCAGAACCACCCACAGUUCACAAAGCAAAAUAGCAGGGUUUACCAUGUCCAUAAGCAAACUGCUACUGCACUCAGGAAAGUGUCAGGAAUAAGAAAAUUGGGUUCAUUUUCCUCCUUGUGACUAAAUUUCAGUGGCUUGAAUCCUGCCCAUGGCAAUAUGUGACUUGGUAUGCAGGACCUCAACCAUCUUAACCCAAGCACUGCUUCAUCAGUAGACACUCCCGAAGAUGACCAGCCUGUACCUUUUCCUCACUUCAAGAGAAAUAUGGCGUUCCCUGCUGAAUGAAUGAAUGGAUCUGACCUCGGGUGUUUCACCUUUGACUUUCUGUGUUCUCAGGAUUUACUAAUGCAAGAUGUCGCAAGCAGAGUGACUUUCCUUGGUCUUGGUCUGUGCCUCAGGGACCAGCCAACACUGAAGAAUGCAGAGCAGCUGAUGAGAGACAGGCAUCUCUGUCUUUGAGGUGAUGGCAGGAGUCAUGGCUUGGUAUUUCUCCUCCCUCUGUGCAUGAGGUGUUCAAGGUGACACAAGCCAGCCGAAGGCAGGACAGGAAGAGGAUGGCUGAGGACCUUGCUGAGGGUCUUCUUGAACAAAUAGGGAGAAGGUGGCUUGCUCAGCUGAGAACCGGAGGCAGUUGUGUGAACGUGGGAGGGACGUCUGGUCUCUGGGUCUGCAGUGGCCCAUUGAAUGCCAAUCAAGGCAGGGCACUCACACCCCACCAGGGUGGCCUCAGCUAUUACAAAACAAGGCCACUGCCUCUGCCCAGCUAGAAGGAGGCCUGGGCUGGUGAUUCAUUCCUACUCAUGGAGAAUCUGCAAUGCUCCAGCUCUCCGAACCUCGUCUCUCAUGGGCUGAGUCUCCUCUAUCAGGACAGUC
This 1203-nucleotide long non-coding RNA is filed under the name Marmota monax (woodchuck). Lineage: Eukaryota; Metazoa; Chordata; Mammalia; Rodentia; Sciuridae. The record is from RNAcentral.